UGAACCUUUUAUAUUUCAUAUAUGAAAACUGAGGUCCAUAUUGCAUAUAUUAAAGUGGUAGAAUUUUCUAUAUUUAAUAUAUGAAAGAGUAGCACAUUUCAUAUAUGGAAAUGGGAGAAUUUUCUAUGUUUCAUGUAUGAAAAUAGUGGUGCAUAUUUCAUAUAUGAAAAUGAUAGCAUUUCCUUUACUUCAUAUAUGAAAAUAGAGUGACUGGACAAAAAAAGUCCUGUCUACUGCUGAUUAUGUUUAGAUGUGACCAUGUGCUUUCUACAAUGAGAACAUUUAGACCUGACCCUGUUCUGUGCGCUAGUACUGGAGACAUGGGUAGGACCUGGCCUGCCUCUGUCCUGGAAAACUCUGCGCCUGCGUCUGAAUGUCAGCGCUCAGAUGUCUGGGGUCUGGAGCUGAGGUGGCUUCUCUGGGUAGCGUGCUCUUCUCUGGGGGGCUCCAUGGCCCUCCUGGGGUUGGGGCUGCGGUGGGCUUUGAGUCUCUCCCCCUGCUUGCUUCCCCCUCCCUGGGGCAUGGAGGCGCCUCAGGUGGGCUACCUGGUAAUCAUUCCAAUUUUCCAGUACAUUCAGGUUGAGUAGGGAGGCAGGUUCACCUGCUGAACUGAUUCCAGGAUCGGGCAAGAAGUCAACGGGCGGCAGGUGAGGUUGCCUCUGUGAUCUCCUUCUGGUCGAUUCUCCUCAGAAGAGAACAGGGCUGCUCCCCGUCCUUCAGCCCAGCUCUCCUGUUUCCUCAUUAUCUCAGCAGGACAGGAAAGACAGAGCCUGCCAGAACCAAGGGCACAUGGAUCAGGAAAAAGCCAAUGGGAUCAGGUGAGGUUGCUGCUGCUAUCUCCUUCCGGCUGACCAGCCCUGCUCAGAAGACGCCAGACCUGCCUCUCGUCUUCCUGCCCUGCAUCUGGUGUGUUUUCUCAGCAUUUAGGUGGCACGAGAAAGGACCGAGCCUUCCAAAACCAAGCUUCUCCCCUUCCAGCCUGGGCCGUAACCCCAAUGAGGGACCUAGGAGGCUGCACUCUCAGGAAGGAGGAUUGAAUUGGGGACCCCAGCACCAGGACCCCUGGCGAUUGGCAAGAAUACUGAAGAGGUUUGCCAUUCCCUUCUCCAGUGAAGCAUGUU
Bubalus bubalis (water buffalo) is the source of this 1121-nucleotide long non-coding RNA. RefSeq lists it as uncharacterized. The transcript has 4 exons. NCBI's taxonomy places the organism in Eukaryota, Metazoa, Chordata, Mammalia, Artiodactyla, Bovidae. The record is from RefSeq and is a predicted model, not a curated record.